GAUCCCCUAUACUUGUGGGUUAUCAGAUUCAAGACCCCUUCUCCGGAUCGGGAAGAACUACCACCUCUUGUAUCGUCCUUUGUUGCGUUUGAAUCUUGUAUCACUCUUUGUGUUCAUGGAUCGAGCACAUGUGUGAUUGUUCUCGUUGAUUUGAGUGUUUCCCCUCGUGAUUCCCCUCAUGUUUCUUCUCAUGUUCUUUGUAGGAGCCCCUCCAUUUCGUGAUAGAUAGGCCCUAGGGUUUCCACCCUACAUCACAUUCGCUCCCAUCUCCAACCGCAUUCCCCUCCCCCUCCCCUCGUUGGGUCAAUUCCAAUCCACCCGCGCCCCUUCAUUGUCUCCGGCGAGUCAUCGGCGAGGGGUUGAGAGCGGAUGGAUCUCAGUCGGCCGCCGUAGUUGUCAGUCGCCUGCGAACUGUGCCGCUGAGUCGCCUACUUCGUCUGGUGGAAGUUCUCUAGUCGACCGGUCUGGUGGUCUGCGAGGCGCCGAGGAUCUCCGGCAGGGCACGUUGUAGAAGCGCUUACUCACCAAAGUUCCUCGUCGGCGGAUAUCAUCUCCGGCGACUGUAGAAGCAUCUUCUCCUCGGCAAGGUUCCACUCACAUCUUCUCUUGCAUUUGCACCACCAUGGUUCGGAAUGUUGCUGACUCCGAUGAUGAUGACUUCAUGCCGCCUAGAGUUGAAGUUGCAGGUGGUGCCAAUCGCAAUGCAAAGAAGCUGUGUUGAACAGCAGAAAAACCCACGCAACAGGGGAUCGCAAGAAUGUCUAACAGAAUUGUACGCCGAUUUCGAUGAUGCCCAGAAAGAAACUGCAAAGGAAAUGGGGAUGCAGGCUUUGAUGAACAUAAGGUGCACCAAUUUGAAUAACAGCAUGUGCGACUAGUUUGUGAGGUUAUAUCAGCCCGAUAAGAGGGAAUUUGUCAUACCGGGCCGUGGUAGGAUUCCAUUAGAUGAGGACUCUGUUUUCAACACACUUGGUGUCCCUAAUGGCGGCAUGGAUGUACAAAGUGGAUAGGAAUGUGCAAGCACGUCUUCUCCCUGAAAUGUUCCUUGGCCUGACUUCCCUCCCGUUGAACUCUGCUUUUUCCAAUAUGCUUGGUGCGAUGCAAACAAGUGGCGAUGACUUCAAGAGGAAAUUGCUCAUGGACUUGAUCUCAAAUUUCUUUGCCCCCACGACAUCAUUACGCCCUAACAGUAGAUGUUUUCCUAUUCUGGACCAUAUAGGCAAUGUUGCCAACAUGAACUGGUGCAAGUUCAUAGUUGGUUUCCUUCAUACUUCACUAUUUAAUAAGAUGUACAACAAAGGUUGCAGGCUUCAUCUAAUGGCAAGUUUAUUUUGUUAAAACCUUUGCUUUUCCAUUCUACGUCUUCCCCCAAUCUCUUCUUACUCCUUUUUGCACUAGAAGCUAAUUUGCGCUAGUAGUUUUACCCGCACGUUUCCAUUUU
Non-coding RNA from Aegilops tauschii subsp. strangulata, 1441 nucleotides. The record is from RefSeq and is a predicted model, not a curated record. NCBI's taxonomy places the organism in Eukaryota, Viridiplantae, Streptophyta, Magnoliopsida, Poales, Poaceae.